CUGAAGGCUCUUUUAGGGCCUUUAAUUGUGUAGAUGGAGAAAUUGGGACCCAGGGGGUCACACUGCCAGUGUGGGGGUUCUGGUCACCCACGGGCGGCUCCUGGCCUCGGCACAGUGCACUCUGCAUCCCUUUGUGUGAUUCCGCCCCAGCCCUCCCCCUCAGCCUCCCUCCUGUCCUAGUUUCAGGACUACCGUGAAAGGAGCCAGAGCUCUGUCCUGAGAGGGAGGUACUGUGAUGAUCCCCAUUUCUCCAUGAGGCUCAGAGAGGUGCACCCACCGUCCUGGGGUCACACAGCUGAACCAAGACUGGAACCUGCGAAGCUGCACUACCUGCCAGGAACAGGUUCACGUUCCUGGGGGUACAAGACUCUUUGCCAUAUACUCACAGCGUCCUCGGUGCCAGAUGGGGAAGCCCCGACUUCAGUGGGUGAGAAUUGGGCAAAGGACCCUUCCAGCUGACAGCCAGCAGGAUGAGCUGGCGGGCGUCCCAGCAAGGCCUGGGGGGCGGGGCAGGUGUGGGUACCCGGCCCCCUAGGCCCCAGCUGCACGGAGGCUCCUGGCACACCCCGGGGCGGCCCACGCCUGUCGCCAGGAAGGCUGGCAUCAGCUGGUCGACCGUGCCUGGGGCUUCGAGUCAGCGUUUGGGUUCGAAGUGUUAUUUUCAUUGUGUUUUGUUUAUUCCACGCUUGCCUUUGAAAUCUGUUUUCGCACCUUCCCAUCCCAGAGAAGGGAGCUGGUUUGGCUACAACAUGCUGUGUUGUCUCAGCCUUAAAAAUGAUUCCCCUUGAGUUGGGGGCUCAUCAUCCCUGAGCACAGGUGGCCCCUCAGGUGCUGGUGUCUGUGGUGGGUCUGCAGGACAGGACGGCCCGACACCCUUCUGCUCCGGCCACGCUGGGCCAGGCGACAGGCAGCCCUCAAACCCUGUGCCAAGACGGAACCUCCAGCAGCUGAGCAGGGUUUAGAACAGGACUGGAGCGGGCUCCCUCCUCAGUCCUGCUCCCAGCCAGGGUUCUCCUGAGGUGUGAGGUCCUGGGCUGGCCCUGAGGUGGCCGCUGCAGGCUGGAUCCCUGGUUGCCAGUCUUGACUCUCCACCCCCACCCCAGCACUGACCGGCCCAGGCAGGCUGCUCCUCCAAGCCCCAGGUCCUGCGGCUCUGCCUCCUCCCUGACUCCUCCCUCCAUGCUCCCCCUCACUCUGCAGCAGGCUUCUCGCUUCUUUUCUACUCUCCUGAGCCAAACUCCUUCAUGCCCCAGGGCCUUUGCACAUGUUUCACCCUCUGCCUGAAAUGCUCUUCCCACCAGCGUCACCAACUCCUACUUAACAUCAGGUCUCAGUGAAGCUGAGGUCUCCUCCUCAGGGAAGCCCUCCUGGAUCAGAAUUGAACAAUGGUAAUAGGACUGGCUCACAGAGGACCCCUCUCAGCAGACCCUGAGCUCCGGGAGCACAGGGAUUGAACAGGCCCCUAACACAGAACCUGCCACACAGAAGACCCUCAAUAAAUGCUGGGCAAGGGGGUGG
RNAcentral lists this long non-coding RNA (1518 nucleotides) under Equus asinus (donkey). Its description in RNAcentral is "lncRNA (ENSEASG00005025337.1)". The record is from RNAcentral. Lineage: Eukaryota; Metazoa; Chordata; Mammalia; Perissodactyla; Equidae.